UCCCUGGUGGCUCAGAGGUUAAAGCAUCUGUCUGCAAUGCAGGACACCCGGGUUCGAUCCCUGGGUCGGGAA
This 72-nucleotide transfer RNA is filed under the name Bos taurus (domestic cattle). It matches the Rfam family "tRNA". From Rfam's summary of the family: Transfer RNA (tRNA) molecules are approximately 80 nucleotides in length. Their secondary structure includes four short double-helical elements and three loops (D, anti-codon, and T loops). The record is from Rfam by way of RNAcentral. RNAcentral also lists the same sequence under 1 other name. Lineage: Eukaryota; Metazoa; Chordata; Mammalia; Artiodactyla; Bovidae.